UACAAGAUGCCUGAAAAAAGGAUAAUUUUGAUAGAAUUAAUCAUGUGGUAACCACUUUUGUAAAAUUA
RNAcentral lists this transfer RNA (68 nucleotides) under Sphaeroderma sp. BMNH 846647. RNAcentral's name for it is "tRNA-Ile". Lineage: Eukaryota; Metazoa; Arthropoda; Insecta; Coleoptera; Chrysomelidae. The record is from RNAcentral.